UCUCCCCCACGAACCCCUCUCCCUCGCCGCCGCCACCACCGACGCCGGCUGGUUCCGGCGAGCUCCGGCGGCGCGCAGCACACCCCGAGCUCCCCUAGGUCCGCUCCACCCUCCCCUCCGUCCAGAAUCAGCGCUCCCGUCCUCCACCGACCCCGUGGCUAGCUAGGGUUUCGACCGCCACCCCUAACAUCGCCGGGAUCAGCCAGAUCCGGCGACGGCGAGGCCAGAGCUCGACAGAUCCGUUACGGGCGUGGCGCAGGUCACCUUGGUGCGGUCUGGACGGCGGCGACGGCAGGAGGGCGCCGUCCUUCCUACUCGAGGAGGCGGAGGACGAGGGGCGCACCUAGCUGGCGGCCUUGUCCUGCUCGAGGAGGCGGGCGCUGCCGAGCUCAAGCACGGCCACGACGACCCACCUCGGCAGAGAUGCAGGGAGGGAGGGACUUCCAUGGAUUGGACUGCAAGGAUUGGAUGCAAACCAAUGCACAUGAGGAGGAGAGAUGCAAGCCAGGUCAUGACCUAAAGAUGUCCUUGGAGAAGAUGGCCAUUGGAGUGUAGGGGAGAAACAACCUUGUCUUGCUCGAGGAGGAGGAGGAGGACCACCCGAGCUCGACGACGACAUGGCAACAGGUAGCACUCGCCUCUCUCCCAAGGUGAAGGUCUGGUCCGCCUGUUUAGAUGGUCUGCUCUCGUCUUAUGCAUGUGAGGGGAGAAGAAAGCCAUUGGACUGAAUUAUAUUUGCAUGUGAGGGGGGUGAUCCUUUUGGUAGAUGCAGAGUAUAGAUUCACAAAAUUCACCACAUGAGCGUACUACCUAUAUCCAAAUUAUGGAUACCACUUGCAUCUUUUGUAUGUACACAUGAAAAAGCACGACGGUUUGCUUCAGUUUGUAUGUAUCCAAUUGUUUUUUACUUUUGACUGAAACUAUCUAUCUUGGUGGCACUUGCAUCUCCUGUACAUACAUACAUAUGAAUCAGGACCACACUUUUCUUCAAUUUGUAUGUGUCAAUUUUUUUGGUUGAACUUUGAGUGAAACCAACUGGCUGGCACCUCAAUCUGUACAUACACAUGAAUCAGCACCACCCUUGGUUCAGUUUUGUAUGUGUCCAUUUGUUUUUACUUUGACUAAAGCGAACUUGAUGACACUUGCAUCUUCUGUAUAUACAUAUAUACAUAUGAAUCAGCACCACUCUUUUUCUCUUUGAAGCUUGCCUUGAACAAGAACUGAUGCUUGAUAGAUACAACCGAAACUGGAGCAUCUCUGUACUGUAUGUAUUAGUAGUAUUGUUCGGUUCAAGCACCAACAUGACAAGUUAUCUAUAACAAAAGCAAUAAUUUUCUGCCUUUUUAGUUCUAGGUGAUUUUCUUUUGGUAAAUUUAAUGUAUAGAUUACAUAUUCAUCCUCAUAUGUAGGAUCUUUUGUUUGUUGUACUGACUGUAUGCCACCUCCAUCGUUGCAGCCUUGUCUCCCCCACCACCGCCCCUCGGCCUCCUAUAAUGUUGUUGUGGAUUCUUAGAAUGGAAAUGUUAUGUACAUAAAAAAUAUACUAUGGUCUGUGUUUGCAAAUCCAUGGCUGUUGAAUCAUGUUUGUAUAAGCAUUGGUAAAUAGCUAGCCUUGUUGGCUAAUC
Long non-coding RNA from Triticum aestivum (bread wheat), 1625 nucleotides. RefSeq lists it as uncharacterized. The transcript is spliced from 4 exons. The record is from RefSeq and is a predicted model, not a curated record. Lineage: Eukaryota; Viridiplantae; Streptophyta; Magnoliopsida; Poales; Poaceae.